RNAcentral lists this ribosomal RNA (455 nucleotides) under uncultured bacterium. Its description in RNAcentral is "bacterial SSU rRNA". It matches the Rfam family "Bacterial small subunit ribosomal RNA", at positions 340 to 786 of the family's 1533-position model. The record is from RNAcentral.
UACGGGAGGCAGCAGUGGGGAAUAUUGCACAAUGGGCGCAAGCCUGAUGCAGCCAUGCCGCGUGUAUGAAGAAGGCCUUCGGGUUGUAAAGUACUUUCAGCGGGGAGGAAGGCGAUGUGGUUAAUAACCGCGUCGAUUGACGUUACCCGCAGAAGAAGCACCGGCUAACUCCGUGCCAGCAGCCGCGGUAAUACGGAGGGUGCAAGCGUUAAUCGGAAUUACUGGGCGUAAAGCGCACGCAGGCGGUCUGUUAAGUCAGAUGUGAAAUCCCCGGGCUUAACCUGGGAACUGCAUUUUGAACUGGCAGGCUUGAGUCUCGUAGAGGGGGUAGAAUUCCAGGUGUAGCGGUGAAAUGCGUAGAGAUCUGGAGGAAUACCGGUGGCGAAGGCGGCCCCUGGGACGAAGACUGACGCUCAGGUGCGAAAGCGUGGGGAGCAAACGAGGAUUAGGAUACC